RNAcentral lists this ribosomal RNA (468 nucleotides) under uncultured bacterium. RNAcentral's name for it is "partial 16S ribosomal RNA". It matches the Rfam family "Bacterial small subunit ribosomal RNA", at positions 28 to 507 of the family's 1533-position model. The record is from RNAcentral.
GACGAACGCUGGCGGCGUGCUUAACACAUGCAAGUCGAACGGAAAGGCCCUGCUUUUGUGGGGUGCUCGAGUGGCGAACGGGUGAGUAACACGUGAGUAACCUGCCCUUGACUUUGGGAUAACUUCAGGAAACUGGGGCUAAUACCGGAUAGGAGCUCCUGCUGCAUGGUGGGGGUUGGAAAGUUUCGGCGGUUGGGGAUGGACUCGCGGCUUAUCAGCUUGUUGGUGGGGUAGUGGCUUACCAAGGCUUUGACGGGUAGCCGGCCUGAGAGGGUGACCGGCCACAUUGGGACUGAGAUACGGCCCAGACGCCUACGGGAGGCAGCAGUGGGGAAUAUUGCACAAUGGGCGGAAGCCUGAUGCAGCAACGCCGCGUGCGGGAUGACGGCCUUCGGGUUGGAAACCGCUUUCGCCUGUGACGAAGCGUGAGUGACGGUAAUGGGUAAAGAAGCACCGGCUAACUACGUG